AUGAAGCUUUGUCUGGCCUGGAG
This 23-nucleotide non-coding RNA is filed under the name Mus musculus (house mouse). Lineage: Eukaryota; Metazoa; Chordata; Mammalia; Rodentia; Muridae. The record is from RNAcentral.